GAUGAAGAACGCAGCGAAAUGCGAUAAGUAAUGUGAAUUGCAGAAUUCAGUGAAUCAUCGAAUCUUUGAACGCACCUUGCGCCCUUUGGCUAUUCCGAAGGGCAUGCCUGUUUGAGUAUCAUGAAAACCUCAACUCUCAUGGCUUGCCAUGAUGAGCUUGGACUCUGGGGGUCUUGCUGGCUUUACGGUCAGCUCCUCUCAAAUAAAUCAGCUUGCCGGUGUUUGGUGGGAUCACAGGUGUGAUAACUAUCUACGCUUGUGGUUUUUCGCCAGGUAACCUUCAGCAAUGGAGGUUCGCUGGAGCUCAUAAAUGUCUCUCCUCAGCGAGGACAGAUUUUGACCGUUUGAUCUCAAAUCAGGUAGGACUACCCGCUGAACUUAAGCAUAUCAAUAAGCGGAGGA
RNAcentral lists this unclassified non-coding RNA (402 nucleotides) under soil metagenome. RNAcentral describes it as "partial contains 5.8S ribosomal RNA, internal transcribed spacer 2, and large subunit ribosomal RNA". The stretch from base 1 to 121 matches the Rfam family "5.8S ribosomal RNA", at positions 35 to 154 of the family's 154-position model. The record is from RNAcentral.